RNAcentral lists this ribosomal RNA (496 nucleotides) under Fusarium solani. Its description in RNAcentral is "eukaryotic LSU rRNA". The stretch from base 118 to 271 matches the Rfam family "5.8S ribosomal RNA". The record is from RNAcentral. Lineage: Eukaryota; Fungi; Ascomycota; Sordariomycetes; Hypocreales; Nectriaceae.
CCUAUAACGUUGCCUCGGCGGGAACAGACGGCCCCGUAACACGGGCCGCCCCCGCCAGAGGACCCCCUAACUCUGUUUCUAUAAUGUUUCUUCUGAGUAAACAAGCAAAUAAAUUAAAACUUUCAACAACGGAUCUCUUGGCUCUGGCAUCGAUGAAGAACGCAGCGAAAUGCGAUAAGUAAUGUGAAUUGCAGAAUUCAGUGAAUCAUCGAAUCUUUGAACGCACAUUGCGCCCGCCAGUAUUCUGGCGGGCAUGCCUGUUCGAGCGUCAUUACAACCCUCAGGCCCCCGGGCCUGGCGUUGGGGAUCGGCGGAAGCCCCCUGCGGGCACAACGCCGUCCCCCAAAUACAGUGGCGGUCCCGCCGCAGCUUCCAUUGCGUAGUAGCUAACACCUCGCAACUGGAGAGCGGCGCGGCCACGCCGUAAAACACCCAACUUCUGAAUGUUGACCUCGAAUCAGGUAGGAAUACCCGCUGAACUUAAGCAUAUCAAUAA